This is an RNA transcript of Anastrepha ludens (Mexican fruit fly), 13651 nucleotides long. It is a transcript of the gene named mucin-5AC, with no coding region annotated. The transcript has 8 exons. The record is from RefSeq and is a predicted model, not a curated record. Lineage: Eukaryota; Metazoa; Arthropoda; Insecta; Diptera; Tephritidae.
UACUGUCUCCUCCGGGUCCGUUUUUAACGCCCAGUCCGUCGCCAUCAAUAUCAGCUAGUCCACGUUUGCAACCGUCACCCUCUCUGUCACCAUUUCCGCAGGAUGUGUUACUCGUAGCUGGUAAUACAAUCACAAACGCCACACACGAUCAGGACCGUAAAGCUGCCACACCAGGACGUAGACAAUCGUUACAUCAAUUCACUAAUGGCAGUCCGAACGCCGGUACCGUUGUAUUCCAACCAAGUCCAUCGCAGUCACCAGCGGCAGCAACCAGUGUUAUCGGUGUGACAGCCGGAGUGGGAGGUGCGGCGAUAGUGGCAACCACACCUGCAGCCGGUAAUGAGUUCAACACAACACUUGUUGGAUCCAAUAAUAUACAAUUAAAUAAGAAGGGCAAUAAGCGCAACACUCAGCAACAACAACAACAAAAUCAACUUGCUCAACAACAUCACCAAAUAUUCAGCAGUGCUGUUGCACCGUCAACUUGUCACACUGCGUCCUCGAUCUCUAAUACUGUAGCCGGCGGCUAUGGGCAACCACAUGCAGCAGCGAUCAAUACGUCGAGUUCGUUUGCGGCAGCAAAUGUGGCUGGUUGCCCAAAAGGUCAAGCGAAAAAAGCCGCCGCAACAGUACUACCGACGUCGACGUCGUUGAGUCACCAACAACAGCAACAGCAGCAGCAGCAGCAACAACAGUUCCAACACUAUCACAGCAGUAGUCCGCUGAUAGCUGACAGUCCAAUACCGAGUCCUAGCAAUACAAUUACCGCCGCCACAAUUAAACCGUCAACACCACAACCAAUGCAAAUGUUGCAGCAACAAUUUACGAUAACAGGCAGUGCGCCGCAUCAAGGGAAUCAAGCGCAGCACACGCAACAGGUCUUUCAAAUUAUCCAGGGGCCGCAGGGGCAAAUUGUUGCGGCACCAGCUGGGCAGCAACAUUCCCUGCAGCAACGUCUAAUAGGCAGCACCGCAACAGUUCAAACACAUCUGGCGCCUACGUCGUACAGUAGUCUUAACAGUACAACAACGAAUACAACAACAAAGUCAACUAAACCGCCGCAACAAAUACUGCCAAAGCCACAACACCAGUCCUGCAACGAUGCCAGUCAACAGCAACAAUCGCUGCAGCAACAUCAGAAAACUAAAGUCGGUGGUGGUAAUGCGGCAACCGCCACUGUACAUAGCAACACUAGUAAUAUGGCGCAAAUGCCACAGAUCUCGCAAUCACCGCAGCCGCAACAGGCACAGAUCAGUGUCUCGGCUGCGCCCACCUCAGGUGCCGCCGCGCAGCAACAACAGAUAAUUCUGCCAACAGGCGCCACAGCCAGCUUAACAACGCAACAACCUUUGUUGCUCAAUCAAAUGCCACUUCUGGUGCAACAGAAUACGCCACAAGGCGUGCAGCUAAUACUGCGGCCACCUACACCCCAGCUAACGGCGACACCAUCAUUGGUGAUCCAAAAUGCGCGUCCACAAGCGCAACUGCAACAACAACAGCCACAACAAUUGCUGCGUAUACUGGGCACAAAUGGUGCAACCAUGCAACUGGCCGCCGCCACUCCCACCUUUAUAGUAUCUUCACAGGCUAACCUCAUACAACAGACUGCAAAUCAUAUACAAACUAUUAAAACGAACCCCCAAAAUUCGGCCAUAACGCAGCUGACCGGCUUGCACGCUGCGCUUUCGGCGUCAAAUCAGCAACGAUCUCAUCAGCCGUUCACCACAACGGCAACCAUAAACACCAGUCACUUGCUAGGGCCGAGCGUAGCCGCACAGCUGCAAAAUCUGCAUUUGGCUGCCGCGGCGGCAAAUGGUGGCAGCAUUACACAAAUUCAAAUGCCUAACGGCCCAUCGCCAGCAACGGCAACAAUACUCUCACAGUUACCGGCGCAGUUUCAGCAAAGCCUGAACAAUGCCGCAACUGGUGGUGGGUCACUCAUCAACUUAAAUCAAUUAAGCGGAGCGAAUAUUCAACAGUUGGCAGCGGCAGCUGCGGCAGCGGGCGCGACUUUUCAAACUCCACCACCACCGCCCACAAGUUCCAGCGCAAAUGUGGAUCUUUACAAUGCUCAGCACACGACGCUACCUAGUUUGACGCAUACGUCACAAGCAUCGGAACCAAUGCGCCAACCUACACCCACGUUGUUGCAGAAUGCGGGCGGUGCCACUGUAACCAUAAAUCAACAGCAACUAACCAAUGGGCACCAGGCAACUUCCUUAAUGAGCGCUGGUGCUGCUAACAGUGGUGCAUCAAAUGCCACAAUACAAAUCCAGCAACAGCAGCAGUCCGCACAGUCGCAGCCUGAACCGAAAAAGAAAGCAAAGCCCCGAAAAAAGAAACAACCCACUGCCAGCAUAGCGGCAUCAUCGGCUGCAGCUUCGGUGCAGUCACCUGCAAUAACGACAACGGCACCUUCACCCUCGCCUACGUCGCAAACAAAGAAUGCCCCAUAUGCUGUAUCCUCAAGUGCGCCCAAUGCAAUAGCCCACAAAUUCAACACACCCGUCAGCAUGAGUAACACCACGGGCGUUAUGCCACAGCUCCAAUUCUCGCAAUCGUCUCCGCAAAACGUAAAAUUGGCAUUUACAAAUAGCAGCAGCGGCAACACUGCACAGAGUCAAACAAAUCAACCACAGCAACAACAGGAGCAAGCACGCCCAAAACUUGAUCUCGGCAAUGUUAUGAAGUUAUGCGGCAUAAUGGAGGAUGAUGAUGAUGAUGAAGAUUACAUGGACGCAAUGUCAACACAUGAUGAGAACACUUCAACUCCAGCGUCUAACGUGCCACAACCACCGCCACAACAAUCACACGCAGCGCCAACAUCAUCGCUCUCUUCCACAACUGGUCCGGCACCACCAAACGCCAAUGAUAUAAUGAUCUCUAUACCCAGUCAAAACGGCUCCGAUUCCAUGCCCUUUACUGUCACAAUACCCGCGGCAGCAGCAUUGAGUGCUGCAGCGACGUCCAACAAUAGUGGUAAUGAUACGACUGAACCUCACAAUAUCUUUAUCAAAAUCGACCAAAAUGACACAGCUUCUACGCCCUACACGAUCUCCAUACCACGUCUGCCGACUGCUGAGGAAAUACAACAGCAGGCGCAACAGCAUUUGGCACAGCAAGCAGCGGCUGCAGCAGCAGCAGCCGCCGCCGCAGCGGCAACACAACAAUCCAAUAAUAAGACAGCGCCAUCCACAAUGAGUUUCAGCAUGCCCGCAGGCAAUAGUUCACAAUUCCAGUCCAUGCAGCAGUCCCAAUCGCAGCCGCAGUCGCAGCUGUUUAACAUAACAGCCGGUGGCACCUCUCUGCAACUGUCCACGUCCAAUAGCAAUCCCACAAUAGCCAUCACCACACCCGCAACCACAACAACCACAACCACGACAGCAACAGUGAAACCAAGACGCAAGCCGGCAGUGCGUCGCAAUGGCAAAAAACAGGAUAAUAUUACACCUGCCGCGGCACCUGCAAACACUACAAGCAGCGCAGCACCGACCUCAAUUACUACAACCACAACGACUACGAACAGUGUGUCGGUGAUGCCUUCCUUGACAGCCACAAUUACACCUGGCAUAUCAACGGCAUCGGCUGCGUCACUCACAACACCGGUUCAACUGCAGCAGCAAAGCGCUUUAGGUACACCGCUCACACCGGCGCCGGCAACCCUACCGGCACAAUCUGCUGCGCCUACAUUGACCGCAACGGUGGCGGGUGCACCGCAAGUUCCUAGCCAAAUUGGCAAUAUACAAAUAUCGCAAGUAGAUGGAACGAAAAUGCUACCAAAUCAUAAUGGAGGUGGCACCGUAGAGAACAAAAUACAAAUUAUGCCAAUUUUGGAUGGUAUGGCUGCUUCGGGUGGAGGGCCCCAUAUUAAGAUAACAACGCAGCCGCCGGUUUCGCCAUACCAAACGCAGUCGCAUCAGCAGCAGCAGCAGCAACAACAACAACAACAACAACAGCCACAGCCACAGCAUCAUCAUCAACAGCAGCAGCAAAUUUUAUUUCAACCACCACAUUCUCAGGCAAACGUACAAACACACGAAGCUCCCGCCGUUACUAUAAAACCAACUUCGGACGGCCGUCAAGUGCAACUAGUAGCCAUACCACAAACGUCAGGUCCCACCGCGGUGGCGGCUUCAUCGAAUCAAACACCAACAGUACAACAACAACCCACCAACUCAAUGGCUCCAAACAACAGCAGCAACAGUAGUGGCAACAGUAAUAAUAAUAGCAUGUCAGCGUCGACAACUGCCACUAUACUAUCACCACAGCUGACCGGUAUGCCCAGCAGCGUAUCAAUAUCGGUAGGCUCGCCAGCAUCAGCAGCUGCACUUAUUCCACAACUUACCGGUAAUCUGACCUUGGCCGUUUCUGAGCACUGCGAGCGUCUGAUAUUGCGGCACGACCCCAAUCAGCCGCCGGACAAACAAUCGCAGAUAAUUCUGCAUGCUCUACUUAAAGGUGCUUUGCCAAAUUUGGCAAUAAUCAAUGAGCCAACCAAAUUGGAUAGCAGUAAUAAUAGCAGUAACGGUAUCAGCAGUCAACUCAACAGCCGAACGAAUUUGGGUGCUUUGAGUGCAACAGUACCACAAUUGCUGCCUCCGGCUUCAGUGAAUAGUGCUUUACAAUCGCAGCAAGCUAAAUCUGUUAUUGGGUCUAGCACGGGCGCUAUAAGUAAACUCACGCUGCCAUCGCAUGUAGCGGCGGCCAUAGCAACAAAAACGUCUACAAUACAGUUGCAAUUCAAUCCUGCGCAAUCAGCCGCGUCAAGCGGCGCAUCUGCAUCUGCAGGGACAAUGGGCUCAACCCUACAAUUACAAUUGCCGCAGCAGUCACCACAACAGCUGAUGGCGCAACAGCAGACGCAGCAACAAAAGGCCCUACAACAGCAACAACAACAACAAGUCACAGCCAAUUCUGCCAGAACGCCGGAAAUUGCACAGCAGCAGCAACAACAACAACAAAUGCAGCAUCAGCAGCAACAACCAAUGUUGCCACAGGUGAACCAAGCGCUGCCACCGCCGCAAAUCAAUGCGCUACUUGGUGCUGCCCCAUUGACCGCGCAAAGCCAACAACGUUACGUAUCUUUGCCGAAAAUAAAUGCAUCAUCACAGCAAAUAUUUUCUCUAAACAGCGAAACGAAUCAUAUCACUCCUAUUAGUCCAACACAGACUGCCGCAUCCAUUGGCCCCACCGAACGUUUGCUUAUUGCGCCAGCCGGCAUCAAUGCUCAGCAAUUAGCGCAAUGUCUGCAGCUGGGUCAAAUACAUUUCAACGAUGUAAAUCCGUUGCCACCAAGCACGCAGCCGCAACCCACCCUAAUGGGCAUGAAUCCGACGCUGAGCUCCAACCAGCAUGCAGCGCAGCAACAGCAGCAACGCUUACAGCCACCGCAGCAACAAAUUGUGCAUCCGCAACCCAUCCAGCCACUAAGUAGUGCAACCAGUGGCGUUAACAACAACUGCGCUAGUGCCGUACCGAACGUCAUUACUAAGCAGGUGGCCAAUGUGGCACCUAUUAUUGAUCAGAGUAAAGCCAAGUUGGAGCCGGCCAAAGCUGCCGCGCCCACUGGCGCAGUUCCCAAAAAGAAGCCAGUGCGUAAACCGAAGGCUACAACAACAGCUGCCGAUGUGGCUAGCGGCACAGCAGGCAUAAAGAAUGCGAGCGUCGUCAAGCCGAUGCCUAAAUUAGAUCCACUGUCACAGAAGCUGAACAAUAGUCCUGUGCUGGCUGUGCAGCCGAAUGUUGCUAGUGGCAAGCAAGUUGGUGCUGCGAGUGCGGCUAGCAGCCUAACAACAACAACAACUCAUAACAGCAAACAACCAUUUCAACAGCCGAACAAGUUGGUGGCCGUAACGGCACCCUUGCAACUACAGCAACAGGUGCACCCACAGCAACAAUCGCAGUCAACGAGCAGCGCGCCUAUGAUGCAGCAGUCGCCAAAUAUGCGCAGCAUUGUUAGCAGCGCGAAUAUUACAGGCAGCUCAAUUACAACAACCAGCAGCAGCAGUCUCAUCAGUCCCACCACCACCAACAGCAGCAUGGCAUUGACGUCUUCGUCAACACUUGUGGCGCCCAGUUUUAGCAGCAACAAUGAGCCACCCUCCCUUUCGGCGCUAAAUCCAGCAAGCAACGUGAACGCUUCACAACAACAGCCACAUCCAUCGUCGCAAGCACAACACCAACAACAGCAGCCUCAUCAGCAGCACACCGUGUCACGUGUACAAACAAUUCAACUGACCGCACAGCAGCAGCAAAUGUUCAAACAGGUGCAAAUGCAAAUCCAGUUUUUGACUAUUAAGUUGCAACAUAAAUCAUUGCUGGCGUCGCUGCCACUGCCGCCAGAUUUCGAUCCGGCCGCCAUAACCGCCUAUACCAAACCAAUGAGUGAUGCCGAGAUAAAUAUGGCCUUGCAGCGUCUUUACACGGAGCAGCAGCGCAUCUUGGCUGCCGGCAAAGAGAUGCCUACACCGGAGGCCUAUCUGCAAAUGCCGCCAAUGGGUCAUGGCGCUGGCAUUACGCUGAUGUCGCAGCCGCCACCGAUGCAACAACAGCAACAGCAAGUGGGCAUUGGCAAAGUGAAUGCCUCUGGCAUACCGGCGAAUAUCGUACAGCCUAAUAAUCACUCAUCCAACAUGUCGAUUACGGCAACAUCUAUGGGUGGUGCAAUGGCUGGUCAGCAGACGCAGACGCAAACACAAGCACAGGCAGGAGUUACGCAUCGCAUACAUAUAUAUCCCAUGCAGCAUCAUCAAACAGUUCAACAAAAUAAACAGCAGCAGCAGCAACAACCACAACAGCAGUCCAAAUCGCUGCAAAUAGCACCAGCAUCACGUGGCAAAGACAGCACCAACGCUAGCGGAAAGGGAAAAACUCCAACAUCCGCCCAACUACAAAUAGCGCAGAGCACCAACAGCACGCUGAUGCCCUUAAGCACACCAAAGCAGCAGCCGACACUAGUGGCAACAACCAAAGCGCCAGCAUUACACUACCAGCAGCAGCAGCAACAACAACAACAACAAUUUAUGCUACAAAAGCCGACAUUAGUAAGCAGCAGCAGCAGCAGCAGUACAAACCUCAUGAAUGGACCACCGCCAUUAGUGUUCUCUAGCCCCUUGAUUGCGGCGGCAGCAGCCUCCACAAGCGCGAGCAGCACGUCUUCGGCUACACUUUUUACACCCAGCGCGAAUUGUUUCGUACAACAGCAGCACCAACAGACACUUCAGCAGUUGCAUACGUAUUCCCAAGCGCCUGUUAGCAGCCUGUCUACGAUUACGCCCAGCGCUCCCCCACUCAACUCAGUUGCAACGCUAAGCAGCGCCAACAGCGCCAUGACAAUUGUAACAGCAGCAACAGCAUCAACAUCUAAUGCUAGCAGCGUUGCUUGUACGAGUGUGUCUGCUGACGCAAUGGCAAUGACAACAGUCGCCACUACAACAGCUGCACCCACCUUAGGGACAGCGGUUGCGGCAGUCGCAAGUACGACAACACCAGAUACGCAAGCCAAAUUACAAAUACAGGGAAGUAAUGCAUCGUACGCGUUUAGCACCAGCACAGUCAGCCCCAUCACCACCACGGCUACUCUAAUGUCAUCCACUUCCGUGGGCACUCAUCUCAUCAAAUCCGAAGAGAGUUUGUCCCCCCAGCCGAAACUUGCACGUCUUUCUUUGUUUUUGCGUCAACUGGAAUUGGAUCAGCACGCGUGCUUGAAACCCGACUAUCUCAACCCAUUUCAGGAUAAAGAGGAGGCUGUUAAGCGGCUAAUAAGAUAUCAUUGCAUGUACGAAAGUGUUGAGGAUUUACCAUUUGAAGAUGAAGAGCGCUUUGAGCAGACGGCGGUACAUUGUCAGGAAAAAUACCACAAAAUUUCAACCAAAUACCAAAAGAUAUUGAUGCAGGAGUCAACGCUGGCACAUCGCACAUCGGAAACCUGUCAAAUUCAGCAGCUGAUGAUUGACGAUCUAAGGACUGAAAUUGAGCACCUGCGUAAUGCUGGACGGGAGCAAGCACUGUGCGAACAGCAGCAACAGCAACAACAAGAUCUGAAUGAAGGCGAGCACGUCGAACAAAAGAUGGAACUUUUGCCGCCAACUGUAACGGAAGAAACAAAGCCGGAGUUUAAAGCUGUAAGGGAUGAGCCGGAGAUGGGCGCAAGUAAAACUCUCUUAGACAUCGAUGCCACGCUCAAUACAUGUGAGAUUAAGAUGGAACCGAGCGACAAUACUAUUAGCAAUACUAAUUUUAUUUGCAACACAGGCAAAACAGUAGCACCGCCAUCACCAGUUGUUGACAAGUUCGAUUUGUUGAAGCAUAGCACAAGCACUAGCACACCAAACAACAGCUGCAACAAGCAGCAGCGUACAGCGACGAGCCAACAAGCUCAGCAGCAGCAGAAGCUACAAAACGAGAUGUCGUCAAGGAAAGAAGAAAAAGCUAGUUGGCAUAGUGCAGCUACUGCGGGAGCAGCAUCAUAUACGAAUUUAAAUUUCGAUUCGCUUGAGACGGACGCUGGCAAAAGCAAACUCGGUGCGUCCAAUUUCUACACCACUUGCAACAAGCAGCUGAACGGUAUAACUAAACGGGAUAGUGCACAGUUACCAGCUACGAGUUCCUAUGUCAAGAAGGAGUUUGAGAAUUUCGAUAUUGAAUCUGAAAUAACACCGAGUUUUAUUAUGAAAAAGGUGGAGCAUAAAGAAGUGCUGCCAUCGCCACAGCCAUCGCCAGUGAAUAGCGGCAAAACGCAUAACAAACACCUCAGAGAAAAGAGCGAACGCAGCAAGGCACAUGAGCAGCAGCCACAACCACAACAGCAGCAGCAGAAGGCACCAACAAGUGCACCAGCAAGCAAUAGUUUUGUUGCACAAUAUCUGCAACACAACUCGAAGCAGCAACAGUUGCAGCACCAACAGCAGUUAAAACAGCAGCAACAAGAAGACGAUUGGUUAUGCUUACAGAAAGAGUUAAAUCUGAUACAUACAGAAAAUAAAAUGUCCUUACAGCAACAACAACAGAUAAAUAAUCUGCCGCAGCAACAUCAGUCACAGGCAACGAAAUCGCUUAAUCCCUUCGAGAGCUCACCUAGCAAUGAUAGUGGCAGUAGUAUGGGCACAGUAAGCAGCGCACAAUCUGGACAAUUGAUAGACCUCUUUCCGAAUGGUUGCAUUAGUAAAAACAACCAAUCAAGCCCCAGCAGCAAUGACUCUACUCAGCAUCAGCAGCAGCAGCAGCAACACCAAAACUGCGAUCAAGAUUUGCAGCUUAGUGGCGACCAGCAGCAACAUAACAAUCAUCCAAACCACCAACAACAAGAGCAAAGCACACACAAUCACAUGCAGUCAACACUCAAUGAGUUCUUCGACUCCGGUGACGAUAUGGCAGAUGUGCACAAAUCUGUGGAGACGCGUCUUGAGGCUAUGUUUGGCGAGUCACCUGUUCAUCUGAGUAAGAGUGGGGGCAGUGAUACGCAUGAUAUUGAAGCGGGGUUGGAUGAUAUUUUCGGCGAUGGCAAAUCGAACGAUAAUAACGUGGACACAAAAUCGAAACAAGAGCAACACCUGCAACAGCAACAACGUCUAUGGGAUAGCGAACUUACGGCAGCGAACACUUUUAUGCGUGUCGCAAACACGCAGGAGAGUGUGCUGUUUGAAAAUGAGCAACAACAAAUGCAGCUCAAUCAACAGCACUUGCAACAAAGCUUACAAUUAAACAUUACCAACAAUUCAACACGUUGGAUUCAACACAUCGAUGCACCCUUCAGUGAAUUCAUUGGUAAUACUGGCGGCGAUUGUGGCGAAACGCGUAAAAGACGUUGGAAUGCUGAAUUGAUGUCGCCUGAAGCGGAUGAUACGCUCGAUGGCGCGAAGAAGAUAUGUCCCAUGUCCGGUUCGUCCAGUUCAUCGUCACCAGUGUCAGCACAACAACAACAACAACAACAGCAGCAGCAUCAGCAUCAACAAUCGCAACACCAUCACGAAAGUAUUAUAGAGGCCGAUCUACUCUCAUUGCAUGAUGGGAUACGUGUAGAGCCUGCCGCAACACAAAUGCUACAAAUGUCAGCACAGCAUCAGGCCGUCUUCUGCCAAACGCAGCAGCAAUUUAGUACUUUGUUGGAUGGUGUCGACCACCAUCAACAGCAUUUUGGCAGCGCACAACAUCAGCAGCAGCAACUACUGCAACAAAACAUGCAGCAACAAAAUCUCCACCAUCACCCACUGCAUUCGCAUUUACAGGCGCAUGUGCAUAACAAUCACAUUGGUGGUGGCGAUUUCGAUGACGACAUCAGUCGGCAUGUGCAGAAUGCCAUCGACAGCAUUCUGAAUUUACAAAACAGUGAAUCGGCAGACUCGCUCAACUUCUCGUUAGAUCAUUCGAUGGGCUCACUGCUCGGCGACAGCAUACUUGACGAUCGACAGCAGCAAGCGUCACUCAAUUGCCAAGAUGGCGUAAAACGUAGGCAUCAUCUCGUUGACGAAUUAGGUGAUUGUCUGAUUAGCGGUGGCGGCAGUGGACCAGCGGCGGGCGACAAUGCAAGCCACAUACUUUUGGACAGCAGUCAACAUCACCACGCACAGCAACAGCAACAGGCCCUACUAAAUCACAAUCAUCAUCAGGGAAUGCAACAAAACAAUCAUCACCAACAACCGCCACAACUCAAUCACCAUCAGCAACAGCAGCAGCGAACACAACAGCAGUCGUUGUUGGGCAACGAUUUCAGUUGCGUCGCAGCUGGUCUCGUCGAUGAGGCGGUCAAGUCGAUAAUGACAUCUUGACAACUUACUGCAGCAGACCAGCAACAACAACAAACGCCAGCACCAAAACAACGUGCAGUAACAAGAACUACAACUGCAGCAGCAGCAAUAACAGCAAUCACAGCUAGCAACGGUGCAGGCAACAAUCGAAACAAUAUUGUAAACUCAGGGGUGAUAUUAGAGUUCAACGCCAGCGCUUUAUGAGCUGUGCGUCAUAACAGAAAUGCUUAGAAAGACAUGUGCGGCAUAUAGAAUUAUGAGCAAAGGUAGCGCUUGACUGAGCGAAUGUGUGAAGUAAGUCGCACUAUUUGCAGAGUGAGGAAGUAACCUACCUCUGCACGUGCCGCAUGCAAACAAGAAACGAAAAGAACAAACUCAAGAGAUAUGCACUAAUGAAAUAAUUCAAAAAAGCAAUACAUAUUAAACUGAAUUAAAAGCGAUAUGUAAAUUGUAAAAUGGCACAAAUUUUAUAAAAGAAAAAAAAAAAUUAAGCAAUAAAAACUAAACUUGAAAUAGCUGAAAAACAUACAAUACUGAAGAAUAAAAUUUUUAUUUAUAAUGCAAAGCUCCGCCUCUUAGCAAACACUACUGAAAGCGUUUAGCUUUGAAGCAACCCAAACAACGUCUAGAACAGAGAAGGUGCAACUCAUGCGCGAACGGCGUGCACCAGCUGUAAACCACAAAUGAUUCGAAUAGGAAUCGAAUUGGCGCUAAUUCGUUUUGGCUUUUUUGUACAUUUAGUUGCGCCUUCCCCAUCUCAAGACGUGCUUUGAAAGCAAUCUCAAUUAAAUGUCCUGCUAUAUCAAACGCAUCAUCAAAAAAACGUUGACGAUUGUUUUUUUUUUUUAUUGUUUGAUGAAAUCGCUUCAAAGCUUUUGUGAAAGCUCAGCGCGUAUGACUUUUAGCAAUUCGCAAUUUUAACCGUUUUAGGCUACUACAAACAAACGACAAACGAACUCGUGCAACUGAAUUCUCUAAAUCAAUGAAUGUCUUAAAAUCGCUUUAAGACAAAAUAUUAGCAAAAUUUUAUUUAAAAUACAAAUUAUUACAAAUUUAAAAUUUAAAAACUAUGUAUGUAUGUAAUUAUGUACUUUAAAAAUACAAUGGCCACAAAAUGAUGAAGCAAAUCCCAAGUGGACGGUGGCAAACGAAUUGGUUGUAAACUACGCAAUUAUGUUUAAAAUGUAUGUGGCUUUCGUAAAACAAAUAAUAAUAUUUAUAAAAAACAAGAAAAUACUUAAAUUAAAACAAAUUAAAAUUAGUAGAGCAAGUGAAAUUGAAAUUUACAAAAUUUAAAGCAAAAACAAUUGGAUGCCCCAUAAAAACCAAAUACACAAAUGCAGUUGCAAAAAUGUUGUGCAGUGCAAUUUGCAUGAAAAAUGCUGAGUAAACCCGUUGCCAACUUUGUUAAAAAAAUGUUCAAAGAUUUGCAAUGUAUUAAUGCGAAAACAACAAAAAAAGUAAAAAAAAAAAUGUGAAGGAACUUAGAGCAAAAAGUCAACAAUGCGAAUUCAAAGCCAACGACGAAAGCAAACCGUUUAAUUUCGUCAUUUUUUGUACAUAAAAACUAAGUGAAAUUGUUAGUGAAAAUUGUAAGAUAGCAACAACAUGCAAAAUCUAGAUGUGAGUUCUUUUCCUUUCUACAAUUUAUAAUAAUAAUAAUCAGUGUUUGUAUGUGUAUUAAAAACUUCACCAAACUAAAAAAAAUUACAAAAAAAAAAAAUGAUAAUAAACUUUGUAUAUAAAAGAGAUACAAGACAGCGCCAGUAUUGAUGACCGUUGGACACAGUAUUUAGUUAUAACGGAUGUUUUCAGACGUAUAGAACUUUCAAUAUCGAUAUAUUUUUUCAAAUUUCUAAAUUUUUGUUCAAUCCACUUUGACAAGUUACGAGCAACUUAGUGAUCAGUAAAAAAAUUAACAAUUGCGCGAAUUAUGUGAAAUGAUGUGACUUGGUUGGUUGGUUGGUUGGUUUAAGUGGUGAUUCUUCCAGAAUCCAACUAGCGCUUUCGCACCAUUUUGUUGUCACAUCCUCGUUACCAACUUGUUUACCAGCGAUUUUCAGCAUGACUAUAUCCAAUGUGUGCGAUUCAGGAACCUUAUCAGGCUGUUGACAUCUAAGCCAGACAGCUGUUCCAGACUCUCGAACAGCGGUUUACCCAGGGUUAACCUUCUGUCCUUCCAUAGGGCAGGGCAUUCACAGAGGAAAUGGAAGAUUGUUUCCUUUUUCUCCGGUUGUUUGCAACUGUGACAGUAUGUGUUGUGAGGGAUGCCCAUUUUGGCUGUUUGUUCUUCCACAGCCCAAAAGCCAGUUAUGACUGCCGUUAGCCUCCAGGCGUCCCGUCGUUUCAUGUUUAUUAGGGCGGGUCCAUUAAAAAUUCGCUCAUUGCUCUGUGAAAAUCGUAUUCCAGGGAUCAAAAUAAGAAACUUUGCCGAAGGAACCAUACCUCUAAAACGAAUUCUGAUGUCCCCCAAUUUGGGUCGAACGAAAAAUCCCACUUUGACCCAUUUAGAGUGCUCCAAUCGAGUCCAAAUGUAUGAUCGACCCCCACUAACUUUGGACGGCCGAUCCACCCAUGCCAGUGGCACACCCUCUGGAACUCCCCUGGGGGGUUCCACAUACAAUCAUUUCAAAAUAUCACCAUUUUUGGCCUUUACAUGAGAAAAGAAACUAAAAAGUUCGACCCAAAUUGGGGGGCAUCAGAAUUCGUUUUAGAGGUAUGGUUCCUUCGGCAAAGUUUCUUAUUUUGAUCCCUAGAGUAUGAUUUUCAGAGAGCAAUGGGCGAUUUUUUUUUGACUCCCCACAAAUCGACCCGGCCUAAUGUUUAUCAAUGUUGAUGAUUGCUUAAGGUUGUAGAUUGACCAUAACGUUCUGCCAAUUUUGCAUUUCUUCUGAUCUCUCCAUCUA